Molecule: transfer RNA, 70 nt
Filed under: Philagra albinotata
Lineage: Eukaryota; Metazoa; Arthropoda; Insecta; Hemiptera; Aphrophoridae
Description: tRNA-Gln
Source: RNAcentral
UAUAUAUAUAGUGUAAGAAGCACAUUAAAAUUUGAUAUUAAAAGAUUUAGUUUAAUUCUAAAUAUUAUAA